UACUCGCCCUCAUCUCCUACCCGUCCGGCUCGUCGGAGCAGCGGCCGGCAGAGAGCUGCGGUGGUCCGCACUGCAGAAGCAGUAGCGGCCGAUGGCGGCGGACACGAUGGCCGUCAUGGGCAGAGCAGCGCGGUGGCCGGGUGCCAUCUGGAGAGCCGGUGGCCGGUGGUGCGCGAUCUGGGCGAUUUGGAGGUGAGGCGACAACGUUGACUAGGACGUCGAUGGAAAUCUUCAUCGUGCCGCUCGGAGAGGAGCUCGUCCGCCUCGUCGACGAUCCCCUCUUCUCGACGGAUCCGCGAUGGAGGUGCUCAAGGAGGAGCUUCUUCUCUGGAUGCCAUGGAGAUCGUCAAGGUGCUCCCCCACUCCCCCUCCCUCUGUCUGGGUAUUUGUACUGACCGCCUCCGGCUCGAGCAAGGAUCCGCUGCACCUCCGUCCUCGCAGCGCCUGAGAUCACUGGCCCGAGCAAGGUGCCACCGAGCACUGCUCCUAGGUCCUCGCAGCUAAGACACAUACCCUCUACAGUUAGAUUGGUACAAUGAUCUCUGACUUGGAUACUUGUGCUACAUCUGAAUUUUGCAAGUAAUUGAAAAUUUGAUCUCUCCUGUUGUAAUGCGAACUAGAAAGGUGGGUAUCUUAAUUCAGAAUGUUAUUAGAAUCUUAUGGACUGCCAUUUACUUGCACAACAUAUGCAGUCAUUUUAUUUGAUCCUUCACUGUCAUAUCACGUCAGGCUGGGGGAAUUGUAACAGGAAAAAACCUAGGUUGUCUCUUCUGAUUGCAAUGAUUUUAGCCUACGAUUUUCAUUUGAUUGAUGUUCUGAAGUAGCUUACUCAAGUCCAGGUUCUCCAAUGAUGUGCAGAACUCUUGCAGGCACCUUUGUAAUUGCAAAAAUUAAGACAAGCUAUGAAGGGACCUUUUCUUGAUCCCUUCAUAGCUUGUCUUAAUUUUUGUUACGAAUCUGUUCUCGCACUAAUAUCAUAUCAUGCUAAAUGUGAAACCCAGCUACAUGAACUAUAAUUUCUCAUAUCAAAAGAGUCCAGAAGGGAAGCUACCCAAUAUUAUGUUAGGCACUUUGUCAUGGUUCGUCCUCAGAAGCUUCUAUACAUCGCCAUUGGUAGUUGUUGACUGUUGCAAGGACACGAACCAUAUUACAGUUGCAAAAGAGAAUUCACUUAAGAUAUUAUCAUCGGGUUUGAAAGAAAGAUGUUGCAUGGCCCUCUUGUUUCAAUUCUGUCCUGGUAGUGAUUCAGAGGGCACUGCCAUCAAAGGUAAUGAAUCUCCAUUUUGGUUUUUGGUAUUCUUCUCAGGUAUAUAAUAAAUUGUUCGGUUCCUCCAAUUUUCUUCUUAUUAUUUUUCUAAACACAGUCGCCCCUUCCCCAGUUCUGUAAGGAUAUGCGGUUUCUGUUGAUGGCCUCGUGGCUGAUUGCAUCUUGACGGAACACAAUUUCAUCAAUAAAUAUGUCCGUGUUGCUAGCCUGAGAAUUAGCUUGUUUGGUAGUUGACUCAUGAUAGUUCUUUUCCUUUUAAACUGAUUUUUGAUCAGUAGUUCAUAAACCAUGUACAAGAUUGAGAGAUUAAAUAAAGAGCUAGGCUGAGGUUUCACCGCUCAGCCUAUCAGUUUGUGUUUGGCUGAUAGAAACAAUAUUGUUUGGUUUAUACAAUGAUUACCUGACAAGUUCAUCUUCCUCUUUGCAAAUAUUACAUAAUAAGUAAUGGGACUGCUAUCUUUAAUUCUCUCAUGGCAAUCAGGCUAGGCACAUACAAGAGCGCACACGUCCGCCUUAGGAGUAAGAGGCGUGUGACAUGUGUUUUAGUUUCUAAUAGAAACACAAAAUAUGUCUAUUUUGCUCGUUAGAUAAUUAUUUUUAUUGUGUGCGCGUGUUGCACACUCAUGUCAUGACCGUGAAUGGAAGUGCACAAAGCAACUGCAUUAUGACCCGAUGUUUUAAUUUAUAGCACCUAUUGGUCUGGUAAGAUAUACGUUGUUACAAAUACAGAAAUCCAACACAAUAAUGUGCGGGAUAAUAGCGCCUCCUUGCGCGUUCCACCUCAUCGUUUUUUACUGUGCUAGCGAGAGAGAGAAAAACUGAGAGGGUAAAAAGGGGUGGACGCUACCUAGCGGGGACGCAAUUGGGCGAGAGGAGGAGGAGGAGGCACUUCUCCUGCUAGAUCCAUGGCCAUCACGUCGCUAUCGACAUCCACCCUCCUCAACAGAUCGAUCGAUCGGACGUCGCCAUGAUGUCUCUCUUUGUUGUGGAUUCAUGCGUGUUUUUUGUUCAAUCCAACCCUUACUGCAGGGCCUAGCGAAGGGAAUGAAGAGGCACACCCUCAGCCACGACUCUGUCCUUCAGCUACAAAAGCUAGAUAGAUUGUAAUCAGUUGCGUGAUUGAAACAACAUUUAGGUCAUCACAAAGGGCUCAAAAUGUUAUUAAGCCAAAACAUUGAUUUUGUGUUAUUACAAUGUUAUGUAUUAGUGAUGUGAUGUGAUUCGCCAUGUCCAACUCAUCCAUUUGGAUCUAAGUUCAAUUGGCUAAAAAAGAAGCUAGAUUUGGUACAAGUCUUUUUUGGGAGAUAUGCCCAUGAUAAUCGUAGUAAUCUUAGUUCUUGGCCUUUCAUUUGGAAAAAAGCUAGAUCUAUUCAUGAUAAUCGUAGUUCUUACCUUUCAUUAUUUAUCUUUAGGUAUGCAAAGAAGUUGGCUUUGGUACAAGUCUUUUUUGGUAGAUUAGUUACAUUGAAAUUCGAUAAAUAUUUGCUGAAUAUCCAGUAUCACAAGAAUCCUUGUAUUAGCUUGUUUCCAAAUGCUUAGUUUUAUGAGAGGAGGAUUUUAGAUGUUUCAAAUGUCCUGCCUCCUAGCUAUAACAAGGAUUAUACAUGCCUCUUGUUUGGCAGCUACACUCUUAUAAAUGACAGGAUGGAAGGGAAGACAAGGAGGGCACAAGAAACAGUCGACGAAACAUGGUUGAAGUUGUUGUUCUGCACCUCAUCCAAACCAUCUUUAGAUAAAUGCUCUUACUAUGCACUAGAAGCGCGCAUCGAGAAUGCGCAGAUCUACUCGAUGCACACUUCUGAUGGAUCAGUGCCUUCACCUCUUAUAGUUUGUUCACCACAUGAUAUGCCAAACACAAUUUUUUAUGGAAUCUGGAUGGUGUUGCGCCUCGGCUUUGCGAGGAACAAGGCGGUGCGCUCAUGUUGUCUCCUUGGAAGCUUGUGCUGAUAAAAGUCCUAUGUCAGCUGAUGGAGCACGUGCAGGUUCAAGUUUGUUUAAGAUCAUUGUGGAGUCAUAUUUGAAGGGUACAAACCUUUUCAUUUGAAGUUGCCCUACCCUCGAAGACAUUGAUAAUUAUGCUUAUAGAGUGUUUCAUCCGUUGUUCUCAUGUUGUGCUACAUACUGACUGCGCUUCUUUUCUUUUACAUAGUUGCUAUUGAUUCUGCAUUUGAGGAUAAUGAUGAUGCUGAAAACUUUCGUGUUUCUGUUUCAAGUAUGUUGAAAUUUUUAAUAAAUAUUUCCUAUUCAGAGCACCCUCCACUUCGUGGCUCCUUCAUUUAUACUAAUGAAGUACUUCUUGGUGCACAAUGUGAUGAGCAAUUGGCCUUGUAUGCUCUGAUUGCACACGUAGCUGCUGACACCGCCAUACCCUUGAGCAAUUGUUUUCUGAGCGAUUUGCAUGGCUAAGUCAGGUCUCCUUCUUAGCUUCAUCUUGUGACUUAUCUUGGUUCAAAAUCACCUAUGUGUCCCUGCUAUAAUAGCCUUCAUUCCAUGAUAAUGAUCCCACUCAUACAUUGGAGAAGAUGUAUUGGCUGUUUUCUUAGCUAAAAACAGUGAGAGAAUCUCUCACUAUGGCAUUUCAAUUAAAUAAAUUAAUGACUGUACAUCAAGAUUACCAGCCAUGUCCUAAUUUAUUCAGGCGAAGGAGAAACACUGCUUGUAGAUAAUUCAAAGCUUCCUUCUUUGUACUUAUGUUUUCAAUUUUUUGAUAAACUAUUUGCAGUUCCAUCUACUUCUCAUAGUUUCUGCAAUUCUCAAAUUCGACUUGUGUUAUAGGCUUUAGUCCUUAUAACAUAUGGUACUCGAUUGAUCAUCGUGUAUAUUGUGUAAACAUAAAAUGAUGCACUGAAUGCAGUAUGCUCUUUCCAAUUGUUAUUGUGUUUUUCCCUAUCCGCUAAGAUAAAAAUCACACCUCUCAAAGUUUUAACAUUUAGUUAUUU
Non-coding RNA from Aegilops tauschii subsp. strangulata, 4206 nucleotides. Lineage: Eukaryota; Viridiplantae; Streptophyta; Magnoliopsida; Poales; Poaceae. The record is from RefSeq and is a predicted model, not a curated record.